This is a ribosomal RNA of Operophtera brumata (winter moth), 119 nucleotides long. The record is from Rfam. Lineage: Eukaryota; Metazoa; Arthropoda; Insecta; Lepidoptera; Geometridae.
GCCAACGUCCAUACCACGUUGAAUACACCGGUUCUCGUCCGAUCACCGAAGUUAAGCAACGUCGGGCGCGGUCAGUACUUGGAUGGGUGACCGCCUGGGAACACCGCGUGACGUUUGCU